UCCCUCCCUCUACUGAGCUCAGAGGACUGGUGAAGCAGUUUGAUUUCAGUGUGGUAGUGCAAGUCUUAAUGUGAGGUGAAUCCCAAGACCACAAACAGUUUGGACUUCAAACAGUGAGAAAAUUGGCGCCGGAUGAUUCCGCACACAAAGCAGAAAACUUUCAUUUCCUGCAGGCAGGAUGGAAUUGACUGUUAUAUUAAGACUUCAGAAGGAGCACUGCCCCGGAGUAAUUUCACUGCUGUCAGGCAGUGUUGACAUCUAGAUUAACCUCUGUGCAGUGAAUUUUACAGCAACGCUCAUUGUAAUGCAUGUGGGGUAUCUCCUGUAAAUCCCAGCUGAAGCCCACAGUGUCCCACCCUUCUGCACAGGAGGAAGGGUUGGGGAGCAGCUGCUAUCAUUUCUGACCCCAGCAAAGCAUGACUCCAACCUCAUCCAGGCCACUUCUGCUGAAACUGAUUUUCUGCUGUGCUAAAGUGACAAUAGCUCCAGCCUGUAUUUUUUUUUUCUAAUUCCCCAAAGAGGUUUACAUCACAGGCUGAAAUUUUUGCCAGUGACAAACAGCUCCCUUCAUGUAUCCAGCCAGCAGUACAGUCCUAAUUAAAAGGCACUAGUUAACUAGAGGCAAUUAGCUGCUUGCACUGAUUAUUUCCAAGACAUACAAUCCCCAAACACAAAGCUCUGAUCAGAUGUGAUCUAAAUGGCAGACAAACUCCCAGCUGAUGUGAGAUGGUGGCAUCCAAUCCUACUCACCAGCACACAGGCACAAAAUGAGCCCUGCCUACCAAACCACAAUUGCAUGAAUUAAAGAAAUGCACAGAGUUAACUCAGUGCAAGCCAGAGGACAUUGCAAAAGAAGCCCCUUGGCUCCAGAAAUGAAUGCUGCUGCUGAUAAGUUGAAAGCAUAGGCCUGACCCCAAGUCCUUCUGUCUUUUGCUGUAGGAGGAGCUUGAGCAGUGGGAUUUCCUAGGCAGGACCGCAACAGCUUCUUCACUUUUGUGCUAGCAGAGACAAUCCUGUCUGUGGUUCUUAAGAUGCAUCUCUGAAAAUAACUUUGUGAAAAAAACCCCAAAAAACCCACACUAUCAUGUAAAAAAUAUAGAAAAGAAAGGGAAGGUUUCUUUGUAUAGUUUUGCCACACCUGCUUAUUCAUUCACUUAUUUUCCCACUCAGACAUUGCUCUGCAGUCAUCUGCAGGAGGUUCUAGGCGAGUGAAAAUCUAUCAGGUGCUGAAGAGAUCAACCACUAGCCCUAAGGGCAAAAUUCCAAUAGUACAUCUACAAAUAUCUUUCAGAGCCCAUCUCUCCUCUCACCCACAGCUCUUCACAGUAGCCUUGCCAUUAUAUUUGCCAAAGGUUUUGGACAGCCUGUGAAGAGGUGAGAUAUCUUCAGUUUCCCCUUAACUUCAGGAGGAAUUGUGACAUUUCUGUAAUUCGACCCAUCAGGAGGAUUCCUUCAAACUAACAUUUAUUACCUCCAAUCAGAAUACAGCUGAAAAGGCUACCCAAGGUUAUAGAAAAGGUCAAGCUCUUGCUUUGGACUGGAAUUUGCUUUGGAAGGAAUUUGAUGGACCAAUUUAACCACCACAGCACAUCAAAACCUGGUGGCUUCAUUUAAAAAGUAAUCAGUAUUGUAUUUCGCUUUAGACAUCCGUGCAUUAGUGUUCUGCAAAUAUGAUUUCCUCUUUGUUUGCAUUAUUGAUGCCAUAAAAUGUCAGACACAUUAAAGAAAAAAAAAAAGAGGCCAACCUUUGGGGUUUGGAAUGAUUCUAGCUGAAUUGCAGUUGGGUUACUUUCCUUUUUAUUUCCCAUGGCAGCGAUGCACUGUUACUCAUUCUGCUAUUGUUUUACAAAGAGUUCUCAGUAAGUGUAUUUAUUCAGCCAACCAUAUUUCAGGAAACACAUAACCUUGAUAUUUUUUCCUGUAUGUGGCAGCAUAUGUGAAUGUGUGUUGGGGAGAGGAGGGCAGGUGGAGCUUUUUACAAGAGCCCUCCCAUGUCUGGUAGUGUGUUGGCUUUGUGCAAUGCUCCAUGAAUCCCUCCUGCUCAGGUGCCUGGCUUGAUUUAACCUCAAGAACUGACUUUUGUAAUCAGGAUUUAAGGUCUUCCGGUUUAGCACUGCCCAGGAUCUGUCAUCUGCUCUCACCAUUCAGCAGCCAUCUGCUAUCCACAGAGGUUCCUAGAUGUCUAUGCCACAGAGAUUACACAGUAAUUGAGUCUCAGGCAUGCGAUACAGGAGUUUUAGCUCAUUCUGAUCCUGGACCAACUGCAAGUUUGCUGAUUUAGCUUGGUUCCCACCCAAGGUUCACUGACUACAGUUCCCAAGACAAAUACUCUUAGCUGCUCAGUGCUGUUUCUCACACACCAUUACAAUACAAGCCUUGGCGGCUGUAGCUCUCUGCCUCACCUCUCUGUAAUGAAUGCAGGUCCAUUUUUCAGUGAUCCUGGAAAUUUUUUGAAGGAUAUUCUCCCUCCUAAAAUCUAAGACAUUCUCAAAUAUUCUGUCUUCUUGAAAAGUGAAGAAAUAAGGUGGAAAUAUUCCCCCUGUGUAGAUAUUUUCAUCAGUGGUAAAAUUUCAGCUUUUCCUCUCAAUGACAGCAGGACUUGGGUGCAGGAGAAGAAUACAGUGGAGCAGUCUAAGGAAGGGUCUCAGCUAGGACUGCAAAGUCAUCUGUUCACCUACUGAGCCAUCACCUCCUCAUACAGGAAGAUAUCCCCAGCUUUUUUUGAGCUUCAGAUUCCUGCCCAGCUCUCUUGCUCCUACUCCAGUGCUGAGGAAUGACCUUCAGAUGACCUUCAGAUUUCCUUAUCUUCACAGAUCCUUCCCAGGACUAUCCAAACAGCCCAAAGAAGUGAUGACAGGGUCUGAAUGGGUGUGUAAUUCAGUGUCUUUCUCUCCCUUUUUCAUCAGGGCAGAGAUAGUGAAAGUGGCAGAACAGAAAUAUUAUUUUCCCCAACAGCAGUGAUCCAGUUUCUUUUUAAACUCCGAUUUUUAAGAUGCCAUACAGCAGUACCUAUAAAUAUGCCUUGAUAUGUUGAAUGAGCACACGAGUAUAUUUGAUUUUGUUUUUAUGCCUAUAAUUUCUCUCACCAAGAAUUCAGCCGUUACUCAGCUCCCAGCAGGUUGUUCUGAUUGCUGGAGAGAUGGUUGGGAUUGAUUCCGGCUGUGACCUGUUCCAGUCCGGCCUCAUUCUUAUGUAGCUAGAUUGAAACAAUAGAAAUCAGCAAGAGACUGAAUUGUUGUUCCUGUGCAACUGAACCUUCUUGUGCAACUCCAGGCUAAAUGUAGCAGGCGUUGAUGACCCACAACUUUGAAGUCAGUAAAGCUGUAGAUACUGAGAGGCACUGUUAGGAACAGAACGGCAGGAGAGAGAGAAAUGCUACAAGAGGAAAAAAAACCCAACCAACAAACAUUACAUCAGAAAAGACAGUGGUUGAUUUAUAAUAUAAGAAAAUCCACUGCUGUACAUGAGAAAAGACACAGAAUAUUCACCCUGGUAACCAAGAACAUUGGCCACUAGGACAAGAGCAGCUCAAACCUCCUCUCACUUUUAAUUUCCUUUUUCUCCUUCUCCUGCUAAUACAGAACAAAUCCUGGCUUAUGGCCUUCCUGGAGACUGAAAUUAAGAGGCAGAUUUAGGAGAGGUGGAGAGAGACUGGAUCCUGCUGGAUGAUGCAACAGCUUUAUAGCCCAGCACCUCUCAGCAGCAAGUGCCUGGUGUGCCCUUGCUUUUAUUUAUUUUUUUAAUUACAACCCCUAAUUGCUUCAAGUAGUGUUCACAAAGAGCCUACAACAGUUCAGUCCCCAGACUCCUGGUAAGACGGAGAUUUCAGCAGACGGACAGACGGACAGCCGCGUCCCUGCGGAUCAGCACCGCGGACAGCGGCACCGCCCGCUCCGGCCGCCGCCGCGGGAGGAGCCGCGCCUUCCAUGGAGGAAUCCCACUUUGGAUGGAGUCAUGCCCACACUGCCCGCGGAACUGCUGUCUCACCCACAGUUCGUUUCUCCCAUGUGUUUUUCUAGUGUGAAAUCAUUAUAUGGUAUCUUGUUUUCAGGUGGUGGAGGAGGGAUGGUUUAAAACAGAAACCAAUCAUUCCAAUGCAAGAGAGAACCAGUUUUUCCUUCAGAGUUAAACUCUCUGCCCCACUUUUUCCUGCACUGGUGUUCCACCUACGAAGGCUCCAACUCUAGUUUGGACUGUGGAAGGUUCUUAUCUUCUCAUCCAUUGAGACAGUUUGACAAAUGGAGAGAUACUAUGCUGGUAGCUCUUUAGAAACAGAAUCCUUAUUUUAUUGGAAGCAUCAUGUGAUUCAGAUUUCAUCCAUCAAUUGCACUUACUGUUUGUAAAGGGCAAACAGACAAAUCUCU
This 4364-nucleotide long non-coding RNA is filed under the name Taeniopygia guttata (zebra finch). RNAcentral describes it as "lncRNA (ENSTGUG00000024708.1)". Lineage: Eukaryota; Metazoa; Chordata; Aves; Passeriformes; Estrildidae. The record is from RNAcentral.